RNAcentral lists this ribosomal RNA (232 nucleotides) under Staphylococcus epidermidis. Its description in RNAcentral is "partial 16S ribosomal RNA". It matches the Rfam family "Bacterial small subunit ribosomal RNA", at positions 1 to 221 of the family's 1533-position model. The record is from RNAcentral. Lineage: Bacteria; Bacillati; Bacillota; Bacilli; Caryophanales; Staphylococcaceae.
UUUUAUGGAGAGUUUGAUCCUGGCUCAGGAUGAACGCUGGCGGCGUGCCUAAUACAUGCAAGUCGAGCGAACAGACGAGGAGCUUGCUCCUCUGACGUUAGCGGCGGACGGGUGAGUAACACGUGGAUAACCUACCUAUAAGACUGGGAUAACUUCGRGAAACCGGAGCUAAUACCGGAUAAUAUAUUGAACCGCAUGGUUCAAUAGUGAAAGACGGUUUUGCUGUMACUUA